This 74-nucleotide transfer RNA is filed under the name Rhodanobacteraceae bacterium. RNAcentral describes it as "tRNA-Cys". It matches the Rfam family "tRNA". Rfam says of the family: Transfer RNA (tRNA) molecules are approximately 80 nucleotides in length. Their secondary structure includes four short double-helical elements and three loops (D, anti-codon, and T loops). Further hydrogen bonds mediate the characteristic L-shaped molecular structure. tRNAs have two regions of fundamental functional importance: the anti-codon, which is responsible for specific mRNA codon recognition, and the 3' end, to which the tRNAs corresponding amino acid is attached (by aminoacyl-tRNA synthetases). tRNAs cope with the degeneracy of the genetic code in two manners: having more than one tRNA (with a specific anti-codon) for a particular amino acid; and 'wobble' base-pairing, i.e. permitting non-standard base-pairing at the 3rd anti-codon position. Lineage: Bacteria; Pseudomonadati; Pseudomonadota; Gammaproteobacteria; Lysobacterales; Rhodanobacteraceae. The record is from RNAcentral.
GGCCAGGUGGCAGAGUGGUCAUGCAGCGGACUGCAAAUCCGCGUGCGCCGAUUCGAUUCCGACCCUGACCUCCA